RNAcentral lists this ribosomal RNA (492 nucleotides) under uncultured bacterium. Its description in RNAcentral is "partial 16S ribosomal RNA". It matches the Rfam family "Bacterial small subunit ribosomal RNA", at positions 29 to 507 of the family's 1533-position model. The record is from RNAcentral.
AGUGAACGCUGUCGGUAGGCCUAACACAUGCAAGUCGAACGGCAGCACAGUAAGAGCUUGCUCUUACGGGUGGCGAGUGGCGUACGGGUGAGGAAUACAUCGGAAUCUACUUUUUCGUGGGGGAUAACGUAGGGAAACUUACGCUAAUACCGCAUACGACCUACGGGUGAAAGCAGGGGAUCUUCGGACCUUGCGCGAUUGAAUGAGCCGAUGUCGGAUUAGCUAGUUGGCGGGGUAAAGGCCCACCAAGGCGACGAUCCGUAGCUGGUCUGAGAGGAUGAUCAGCCACACUGGAACUGAGACACGGUCCAGAAUCCUACGGGAGGCAGCAGUGGGGAAUAUUGGACAAUGGGCGCAAGCCUGAUCCAGCCAUACCGCGUGGGUGAAGAAGGCGUUCGGGUUGUAAAGCACUUUUGUUGGGAAAGAAAAGCAGAAGGUUAAAACCCCGAUGUUCUGACGGUACACAAAGAAUAAGCAACGGCUAAAUUCGUG